CCUACGGGGGGCUGCAGUAGGGAAUAUUCCGCAAUGGGCGAAAGCCUGACGGAGCAACGCCGCGUGAGUGAAGAAGGUUUUCGGAUCGUAAAGCUCUGUCAACAGGGACGAAACAAGACGGUACCUGAGAAGGAAGCCACGGCAAACUACGUGCCAGCAGCCGCGGUAAUACGUAGGUGGCAAGCGUUGUCCGGAAUAACUGGGCGUAAAGCGCAUGUAGACGGCAUGAUAAGCCAAAUGUGAAAUGUAGGGGCUCAACCCCUGCACUGCGAUUGGAACUGUCAAGCUUGAGUGCAGGAGAGGCAAAUGGAAUUCCCAGUGUAGCAGUGAAAUGCGUAGAGAUUGGGAGGAACACCAGUGGCGAAGGCGAUUUGCUGGACUGCAACUGACGUUGAGAUGCGAAAGCCAGGGGAGCAAACGGGAUUAGAUACCCCAGUAGUC
This 441-nucleotide ribosomal RNA is filed under the name uncultured Veillonellaceae bacterium. RNAcentral describes it as "bacterial SSU rRNA". It matches the Rfam family "Bacterial small subunit ribosomal RNA", at positions 338 to 795 of the family's 1533-position model. Lineage: Bacteria; Bacillati; Bacillota; Negativicutes; Veillonellales; Veillonellaceae. The record is from RNAcentral.